GAUGAAGAACGUAGCGAAACGCGAUAAGUAAUGUGAAUUGCAGAAUCCAGUGAAUCAUCGAAUCUUUGAACGCACAUUGCGCCCGCCAGCAUUCUGGCGGGCAUGCCUGUUCGAGCGUCAUUUCAACCCUCGACCUCCCCUUGGGGAGGUCGGCGUUGGGGACCGGCAGCACACCGCCGGCCCUGAAAUGGAGUGGCGGCCCGUCCGCGGCGACCUCUGCGCAGUAAUACAGCUCGCACCGGGACCCCGACGCGGCCACGCCGUAAAACACCCAACUUCUGAACGUUGACCUCGAAUCAGGUAGGACUACCCGCUGAACUUAAGCAUAUCAAUAAGCGGAAGGA
This 344-nucleotide unclassified non-coding RNA is filed under the name soil metagenome. RNAcentral's name for it is "partial contains 5.8S ribosomal RNA, internal transcribed spacer 2, and large subunit ribosomal RNA". The stretch from base 1 to 120 matches the Rfam family "5.8S ribosomal RNA", at positions 35 to 154 of the family's 154-position model. The record is from RNAcentral.